AACGAACGCUGGCGGCAUGCCUAACACAUGCAAGUCGAACGAGACCUUCGGGUCUAGUGGCGCACGGGUGCGUAACGCGUGGGAACCUGCCCUUAGGUUCGGAAUAACUCCCCGAAAGGGGUGCUAAUACCGGAUAAUGUCUUCGGACCAAAGAUUUAUCGCCUUUGGAUGGGCCCGCGUUGGAUUAGCUAGUUGGUAGGGUAAAAGACUACCAAGGCGACGAUCCAUAGCUGGGCUGAGAGGAUGAUCAGCCACACUGGGAGUGAGACACGGCCCAGACUCCUACGGGAGGCAGCAGUGGGGAAUAUUGGAAAAUGGGCGAAAGCCUGAUCCAGCAAUGACGCGUGAGUGAUGAAGGCCUUAGGGUUGUAAAGCUCUUUUAACCGGGAUGAUAAUGACAGUACCGGGAGAAUAAGCUCCGGCUAACUCCGUG
RNAcentral lists this ribosomal RNA (433 nucleotides) under uncultured bacterium. RNAcentral's name for it is "partial 16S ribosomal RNA". It matches the Rfam family "Bacterial small subunit ribosomal RNA", at positions 29 to 507 of the family's 1533-position model. The record is from RNAcentral.